Molecule: long non-coding RNA, 537 nt
Filed under: Cricetulus griseus (Chinese hamster)
Lineage: Eukaryota; Metazoa; Chordata; Mammalia; Rodentia; Cricetidae
Description: lncRNA (ENSCGRG00015033819.1)
Source: RNAcentral
CCUUAUCCAUAAAAGAGCCUCAGAGGAGUUGAAUUUACAUCACCUAAGGCACUUAUUCAGUGAAUCUCCUUAAGACAUCAGGUAAACAAUUCAAAACAGCUUCAGGAAGUCCCUGAAACUGAACACAUUCAGUAGGCCCUUUCUUCACAAGAGUGAACACUCCAAGUAGCCUAGAGUGACUCUCUGACAAAGCAUGCUGCAAAGAAGAUUCUGGGACCAGACUGGCUGCUUGGAAGAGAUUUACACCAACUGAGUCACCUGGAAAAGACACUCUAACUCCUCAUCUAUACUCCCGUAGUGAGAGAACAAGAGUGAUUCCCAGGUCACCCAUGGGCAGUCCAUGAAGAUGAGACUCAAGACAAGUGGGCUGGAUCUAGAGUUUGCUGGUUGGAGACUGUGAGAUCAGCCCCUGGGGAACUGUACUUCAUCUGCAUUCUUAUGGCCAGUUGACUUCCUUUGGCCAAUGGAAGAAGUCCUUUCAGAAUAGAAGCAUUAAACUCUGGAAGCUCCACUUUCCACUCCUGGUUUUCCUUUGCC